GGUCAGCUGGUGUGAGGACAGGAGUCUCAUCUUAGCAGACGCCUUGCUCCAACUACAAAGCUCCCUCUUGAAAGCUUUUCAGAGCUUGGUUGACUAUGGCUAACUGAAACCUCAGAAAGCAAAAUCGUGAGUCAGGGGGGAUGGUGGGAAACUCCUCCGCUGGUGUACAUGGCAAUAGAUGAAAGGAGAAGAAUGGCCAUGAAGUGACUGGGAGGGAUCCAUCUGGCUUCAAAACAUUCUUCACUUUCUGUAUAUAUUUGAAAAUAGCCGUAACAAAAUAUAGAAUAUGUCACUGUAUCAGGAAUUUUAUAUGUUGAGGAUACAUUUGAAAAGGCAGGAGGAAACUUAGUUUCAGGGUUAUGAGCACACGUCAGAAUGUGCAGUUUGUUUUAAGUCAAUUAUACCUCCAUUAAAACUAUUUAAUUAGAACUGCCAACUUCCUAAUCAUACUACAUUUUAUUACUUUGUCUUCUUGAAGUUAAUUUGCAGCUUUUCUGGCAGUAAGCCACUGCACUAGUGUUUCUCUUUAACUUACUUCAUGUAGGCUAAUGCUCACCAACUCUAUCCAUGUUGCUGUAAAUGGCAACAUUUUGUUCUUUCUAAAUGAUCCAGUGGUAUUCCAUUGUGUAUCCACCCAUUCAAGUAUUGAAGGACACUGUAGGCUGUUCCCAUGUCUUAGCAGUUGUAAGUGAAACUGCUGUGAACCCUGGGGUACCUGUAUCAUUUUGAAUUGGUGUUUUUAUUUUUUCAGAUGUAUGCCCAGGAGGGGAAUGCUGGGUCACAAAGUAGUUCUAUUUUUGUGUGUGUGUGGGGGGGAACCUCCAUUUUUUGUACACUAGCUGCACCAAUUAACAUUCUCACCAGUACUGCACGAGUGUUCCCUUUUCUCCACACUUGCUCCAGUGUUUGUUAUUUGUGUUCUUUCUGACAAUGGCCAUCCUGACUGGUGUGAGGCGAUAGCUCAGUGUGGUUUUGAUUGGUAUUUCCCUGGUGAUUAGCGAUGUUGGCCAUCUGCUUUUCCACUUUGAAAAGCAUGUCUGUUUCUUCUGCCCAUUUUUCUUUUUCUGGCUGCACCUGCAGAUGGAAUGAGCCACAGCUGCAUCAACACCAGAUCCUUAAACCACUGCCCUGGGCCAGAGAUCACUGCACCUCCAGUGACCUGAGCCACAUCAGUCAGAUUCUUAACCAUGGUGGGAACUCUCUACCCAUUUAAAAAAAAUUUUUUUGUAGUUCCUGUCGUGGCACAGCAGAAACGAAUCUGACGAAGAAUUAUGAGUUUGCAGGUUCUAUCUCUGGCCUUGCUCAGUGGGUUAAGGAUCCAGCGUUGCCGUGAGCUGUGGAGUAGGUCGCAGAUGCAGCUCGGAUCUGGCGUUGCUAUGGCUCUGGCGUAGGCGGGCGGGUACAGCUCCAAUUAGACCCCUAGCCUGGGAACAGGUGCAGCUCUAAAAAGAUAAAAGACAAAGACAAAACAAAAAAAUUAAUGUUUAGUCGCAUGAGCUUUGUGUGUGUGUUUAUGUAUAUAUAUAUAUGUUGGGAUAUUAACUCCUUAUCAGUCAUAUCAUUUGCAAACAUUUUCACCCAUUGAACCCGCCUCCUCAUGAAUGCUAGUCAGAUUCGUUUUUGCUGAGCCACAAUGGGAGCUCCAGAGUUUAGUUUUGUAUAUGGUGUCAGCAUUCUCAUUUUACCCUUUCAAAUGUAGCUGUCUAGUUUUCCCAGCACCACUUAUUGAAGAGACUGUGUUUUCUCCAUGGUGUAUUCUUGCCUCCUCUGUUGCAGAUUUAACUAACUAAAAGUGCAUGGCUUUAUCUCUGGGUUCUUUUCUGUUCCAUUUAUGUUUUUGUGCCAUUGUCAUACUGUUGUGAUUACUGUAGUUUUGCAGUAUUGUCUGAAGUCAGGGGUCACAAUUCCUACAGUUCCCUUCUUUCUCAAGAUUGUUUUGGCUACUCAGGGUCUUUUUUUUUUUCAUACAAAAUUUUAAAUUAUUUCUUCUGUGAAAAAUGCUGUUGGUAUUUUGAUAGGGACUGCAUUAAUUCUUCCAACCAAAGAACAUGGAAUAUCUGUCCAUCUGUUUCUGUCUUCAAUUUCUUUCAUCAGUGUCUUAAUGUAGGUUUAUUCGUAGGUAUUUUAUUCUUUUUUGUGCAGUGGUAAAUGGGAUUGCCUCACUGAUUUUCUUUUGGACAGGCUGUUGUAUGUGGAAGUGCAACACUUCUUCAGGUUCAUUUUGUACUCUGCAGUGAAAUGACAGAUAACCUCUAGCGCGUUUCUGGUGGCAUCUUUAGGAUUCCCUAGGUGUAAUACGCCAUCUGCAAACACUCAAGUUUUCUUCUUCCAUUUGGAUUCCCUUUGUUUCUUUUCCUUAUAUGACUGCUGAGGGUAGGACUAUGAAAAUUGCAUUGAAUUAAAGUGGUAAGAGUGGGCAUCCUUGUCUGGUUCCUGAUCUUAGAGAAAAUGCUUUUCGCCAAAUCCUGGGGUUGGUGCCAGACUCCUGGCAGGUAGAGCUGAGUCCAGGGGUCUGGCUGUAGGGCCCUGGGACCCCAGAGCUGGUGUUAGUGUCUCCGAUCACUGUGGUGGGGACGGAUAGGUGAAGUUUCUGACACAGUUGGGUAUGGGGUCUGGGAUAUUCCGAGGCUAGUGCUGGCCUGCCACUGGGUGAUCCCAGGGUAGGUUCUGACCUGCUGUGGACUCUCUGGAUCUGCAGGCUACAAGGUUGUGUUUUUGUGCAUCUGGUUUCUGCCUCUUGGUGGGAUAAGCUGGUCCAUAAGCUACUGCAGCCUUCCGGGAGGGCAGGUCUGAGCUCUCAAGGGCAGGGCUGUGGCUAGAGUUGUGUGCAGAGGCAGCUGUGGACUCAGGAAGUCUCGUAGCAGUCUGUCUCUAGGUGACAGAGCCCCAGCCAAGUGUUUGGCCUGAGGCAUCCCACCCACAGGCGGUUAUGUGGGGCCAGGUCUCGGUACUGUGAGCUAGAGGGAGAAUCUCAUGAUGGUGACCCCAGCGGCAGAGCCUGAAUGCUAGAAAGCUCUGAAAUACGGUGAACACACAUGGGCAUGUCCUCAAGGUGAGCAGCAGCCACCCUCUAACGCUCCAGGAGACUAAGAUGAGCAGGUAGGUCUGGCCCACGCUCCUAUAAAAUUACUGCUUUUUCUGUGGGUCUGUCUUCGUGUGUCCUUUAAGAGUGACGUUUCUAUUUCCCAAGUCCUUUGGGACACUUUUUUUGGUCUUUUUGUCUUUUCUAGGGCCACACUUGCAGCAUAUGCAGGUGCCCAGGCUAGGGGUCUAAUCAGAGCUGUAGCCACUGGCCUAUGCCAGAGCCACAGCAACAUAGGGUCCAAGCCACAUCUGCAACCUACAGCACAGCUCACGGCAACACCAGAUCCUUAACCCACUGAGCAAGGCCAGGGAUUGAACCUACAUCCUCAUGGAUACUAGUUGGGUUCGAGACCCUCCUCCCUUUGGGACACCUGAAUUAAGCCCCACUGGUCUUGAAAGCCAAUGAUUCAGGGGCUCAUCAUCCCAGUGCAGGAACCCCAGGCUGGGUAGACUAAUGUGGGGCUCAGAAUUCUGUCUUGUGUGAGCCCCUCUGCAACAUAAUUAUGCUUCAACGGGUGGGUUGCUCACCCAUCGGCAAUGCAAGCCCAUCCUCCUUCCUGUCGACCUGUGGGUCCUUUGUGUCUUUAGAUACGGAAGAUGUUUUUAGUGCUUUCCAGGCUUUUUCACAGAUGGUUUUUCUGCAGAUAGUUGUAAUUUCAGGGUGCUCCUGAGAGUAGGUGAACUCAGGGUCUUUCUGCUCCACCGUCUUGGCCAAUGCUCCCAUACUGACAGUUUUAAAUUGGCUGUGGUGGGUGUGUCAUGUCAUCGAAAAUGACAAACAUUACAAACCAUGGCUUGAUUUACUGUAUUGUUGAGUAUCUAGAUUCAAGAAAAGCGACUGAGAAUAUUUUACAUAAAAAAUAGAAAAUAAACUUUAAAAUGUUCAGGGAGUUAUUGGUGGGUCAGCAGGUUAAGAACCCCGCUAGUAUCCAUGAGGACACGGGUUCCAUCCCUGGCCUCACUCAGUGGGUUAAGGAUCCGGCAUUGCCGUGAGCUGUGGUGUAGGUCCCAGAUGCAGCUCGGAUUCCGUGUUGCUGUGGCUGUGGUGAAGGCUGGCAGCUGUAGUUCCAAUUAGAUCCCCCACCCAGAAACUUCCAUGUGCUGGGGGUACAGCCCUAAAAAUCAAAACAAAAUUUAGAAACUUUAACAACUUCAUGAAACAUCAGUGAAAGGCAACUAAAACUAUAGUGAGGAUAAUGCUAUAAAAUUAUUUAAGGAGUUCCCAUUGUGGCCCAGCGGUUAACAAACCCAAAUAGCAUCUACAGGGAUGCAGGUUCGAUCCCUGGCCUCACUCAGUUGGGUUAAGGAUCUGUUGUUGCCGUGAGCUAUGUGUAGGUCGCAGACGUGGCUCAGAUCCUGCGUUGCUGUGGCUGUGGUGUAGGCCAGAGGCCACGGCUCUAAUUAGACCCCUAGCCUGAGAACCUGCAUAAUUUAAAAAAUUAAAAAUAAAAACAAAAAUUUUAAAAGGGGGGUUCCUGCUGUGGCGCAGUGGGUUAAGCUCAGGUCACUGUAAAGGUUCAGGUUUGACCUUUGGCCUGGCACAGUGGGCUGAAGGAUCCAGUGUUGCCACAGCUGGGGCUCAGCUUUAAUCCCUGCCGGAGACUGCCAUAUGCAACAAGCGAAGCCAUUAAAAACAAACAAAAAAAUCAUGUAAAAGCCUCAGAAGUUAAAAGGACUCAUCACACCCACUAUUGCCAAGGAUGUGAAAGAACUGAAACUCCCACACUGCUAGUAAAGUUGACUUAGAUCAGUUUGACAUUUCUUAAAAAGUUAUAUACUUAUCUCCUCUGUUAGAUAUUAGAACCCAUGAUGUUAACACAGAAUAAAUGAAAGACAUAUGAGAAAUUACAUUUUUCAUGUAGUGGUUUUAGAUUUUUUUUUUUUUUUUGCUUUUUAGGGCCACACCCACGGCAUAAGGAAGUUCCCAGGCUAGGGAUCUAAUUAGAGCUACAGCUGCUGGCCUGUGCCAUGGUCACAGCCACACAGGAUACAAGCUGCAUCUGCGACCUAUACCACAGCUCAGGGCAACACCGGAUCCCCAACCCACUGAGUAAGGCCAGGGAUCAAACCCGCAUCCUCAUAGAUACUAGUCAGAUUUGUUUCCACUGCACCACAGGGGAACUCCCUAUGUAGGAGUUUUAUUCCCAGCAGCCUAAACUUAGAUGUCCUUAAGCAGAACAAAGAUGGUGUAUCCACAGAACAUCAUACUUUUCAGCUUUAUGAAAAGCAUCUUCGUAUAAGCAUCAUGUAAGGACUAUUCAUAUUCAUGUACACAUCCUUAAUGAAUCUUUUUUUUUUUUUUUUUUUUUUUUUUCUUUUUGUCUUUUUGCCAUUUCUUGGGCCGCUCCCGCGGCAUAUGGAGGUUCCCAGGCUAGGGGUUGAAUCGGAGCUGUAGCCACUGGCCUACACCACAGCCACAGCAACACAGAUCCAAGCUGCACCUGCGACCUACACUGCAGCUCAUGGCAACACUGGAUCCUUAACCCACAGAGCUGGGCCAGGGAUACUAGUCGGAUUCGUUAAGCACUGCGCCACAACGGGAACUCCCUUAAUGAAUCUUAAAGACAGUGCAUGUGGGUAGCCCGGGGGGAAGAAGGAGUUAACACUCUAUGACUUCAAUCAUAAAACUCUAGACAGUGCAGCCUUAUUUCUACUGUAAAGGAAACUAAAUCUGCGGCUGACUAGAGGGGAGAAGAAAGGAGAUUAUAAAGUCUACAAAGUAUCCAAAAUAUACAAACAGCUCCCAUAACUCAGUAUCAAACAAAAACCAAUCAAAAAAUGGGCAGAAGACCUAAAGAGACAUUUCUCCAAGGUAGACAGACAGAUGGCCAGCAGGCACAUGAAAAGAUGCUCAGGAUUACUAAUUAUGCUCCAAAUCAAAACUACCCCUCUCCAGUCAGCAUGGCCAUCAUCAAAAGUCUACAUACAGUAAUUGCCAGAGAAGGUGCGGAGAAAAGGAAAGUCCAGCCACUAUGGAAAACAGUAUGGAAAAGACAUACCGUGUCCACAGUGGCACUCUUUACAAUUCCCGAGACAUGGACGCAUCUGUGGUCCAUUAACAGAUGCACGGGUGAGGAAGAGGUGAUGUGUAUACAUACAUGUAUACGCCAUAGAGUGUGUAUAUACUUAAUAUCCACACACACACACACACACACGUGUACGUAUUCAAUAGACGACAACUCCACCAGAGAAAGUCAUGAAAUACAGCCACCUGCAGCAUCAUGGAUGGACCCAGAAAAUAUACUAGGUGAGGUGGGUCAAAAAAAGACAAGUGUGUGCUGUGUAUUAUACGUGGAGUCUUAAAAAUAACAGCAUGUGGAGUUCCCAUCGUGGCGCAGUGGUUAACGAAUCCGACUAGGAACCAUGAGGUUGCGGGUUUGGUCCCUGCCCUUGCUCAGUGGGUUAACAAUCUGGCGUUGCCGUGAGCUGUGGUGUAGGUUGCAGACGCGGCUCGGAUCCAGCAUUGCUGUGGCUCUGGCGUAGGCUGGCGGCUACAGCUCCGAUUCGACCCCUAGCCUGGGAACCUCCAUAUGCCGCGGGAGCGGCCCAAGAAAUAGCAAAAAGACAACAACAACAAAAAUAACAGCAUGUGAAUCCACUUACAGAACAGAAUCACUCUCAGACACGGAAACAAACUUGUGGUUACCACAGGGGAAGGGAGAGAAGGGGAAACAGGAGUGCGGAUAACCAACUACUAACUUGAUAAAGGUUUGCUGCACAGCGCAGCAACUAUAUUCAGUAUCUUGUAAUAACCUGCAAUGGAACAAAAUCAAAAAUAUGGAAUCACCUUGCAGUUAUACAGUCACCUGUAUACCUAAAACUAACACGAUACUGGAAAUCAGCCAUCUUUCAGUGAUUAAAAAUAAACGCAAGGUAGACAUGGGGUCAUGAAGAGAUUCGUUGUGUGAUCCAGACUUCAUGAGUUUAUGUAAAUGUCGGAACCUACCACACUAAUGUUCACUGCACGUCAUUUAUACCUUCUCGAAGCUUUAAAACCUGGAAUUCCUUAUUUUUCCUGGAAAUGAGAUUUGGUGACACUAAUGCUGACAUACCCUUCUCUCUCCAGUCAGGGCCUCCCUCUCGCCUCAGGGGCAGCAAGUCCUGGGGAGCAGCGGAGGCUGUUCCCAGCUGUGCCAUGUAAAUGCAGGCCGGACUAAGCUCUCCCUCCUUCUCCUGCACACCUCCUGUAAAGCACUGGUCCUGAGGGGAAGAGCCAGAGCCAGACAGGCUGCAGUGACCCACAGUGUCUUUGGCUGAUGUCCACUGAGGAGGCCUGCAGUGACCCAGGACACAGGCCUGAGGACUGUGAGAAGUUCUGUACCUGCUCAUCCUUCCCAGCCACAGUGGCGGGUCAGGCGGAUGCUGUCCUGAGAGGCACGUGCCCAGCAGUCGGUUGCAGCGUCCUGCCCCCUCGUCCUGUGAGUCCAGCGUGUCUGGAAUGAGGAUGAUCCCUCAACAGUUGUGCACAGCAGGCUCCACGGCUCCUCUGCAGGACCUGGGAAGAGACUGCCCUCGUUCGUCCUGAGCACAAUGCCACAUCCCUGUGAACAAGACAACUUCAUGGUGCUCCAGAAGUGACAGGGUUGUCACAAGUCUCCCCUCCACAAGCUGACCUCUGAACCCGCCAAAGAGCAUGGCAGUCAGCCUACAAAGGAGGCUUUAGGCAGCGAUGGAAACCAGGCCGAAAGCGGAGAGAGAACCAUAAUUUCCGAGCCAUCGCACUGUCCUCUCUGAGGCACACAAAACCCAGUCAUCCCUAUUUACCAACCACUCAAUACAAAGCAUUCCCACACUUAAAUGGGAGGGCCUGCCUUCAUCAUCACGAAAACCAGGGUAAUGGGAGGCAGGCUGUCCUCAGGUUCACGACUGGAAAACGGAAAAUCCAACACAGAGAUCGUGGUGUCAGCGGCACUCUAGACAAAGGUCGUGCAUCUUUUCAAGUCGCCGCAGAAUCCUCCCAGUCAGAAGUGGCCCCAGUCCACACUGCCUGAGGCAUCAGAGACGGGACUGAGUGGUCCGGCGUUUCAUAAAGCCCUCCCCUGAGGCAGAACACCGCCCUUUACCUUCCUGGACACGAUGGGGGAGCGGGGGUGAGUGGCGCACACUGUGGGCACCAAAGACAGACGUGAAAGGGUUUUGCUACAGAACUGCAGUGACAUAAAUCUGGUGCCAACUCUAGGCAUUUAAAGGAAAAAUGCAGCUCCCACAGAUCUGGAAUUAAUACAGAUUUUCAUAUGUUUGAGGUUCAACUGAGGCAGAUGACACCCUCACGAGGCAUCUCCCUUAGUGUUCAACUGCAGAAUCCAAACAGCCCUCUGGGGAGUUCCCGUCGUGGAACAAUGGAAACAAAUCCGACUAGGAACCCUGAGGUUGCGGGUCUGAUCCCCGGCCUCGCACAGUGGGUUAAGGAUCUGGCGUUGCCGUGAGCUGUGGUGUAGGUCGCAGAUGCGGCUCAGAUCCUGUGUUGCUGUGGCUGUGGUGUAGGCCGGCAGCUGUACCUCCAAUUCGACCCCACGCCUGGGAACCUCCAUAUGCCACAGGCGCAGCCCUAAAAAAAGCAAAAAAAAGUAAAAAAAACAAACAAAACAAAAAAACAGUCCUCUGGGGAGAAUGGGGUAUGUCUCUGUGUGUGCUUGUAUAUAUACACACAUAUAUAUGUAUAAAAUUAAAAACAUUCAAAAGAUCAU
RNAcentral lists this long non-coding RNA (8771 nucleotides) under Sus scrofa (pig). RNAcentral's name for it is "lncRNA (ENSSSCG00050054550.1)". Lineage: Eukaryota; Metazoa; Chordata; Mammalia; Artiodactyla; Suidae. The record is from RNAcentral.